CCUACGGGGGGCAGCAGUGAGGAAUAUUGGUCAAUGGACGCAAGUCUGAACCAGCCAUGCCGCGUGCAGGAAGACGGCUCUAUGAGUUUUAACCUGCUUUUGUACGAGGGUAAACGCAGAUACGCGUAUCUGUCUGAAAGUAUCGUACGAAUAAGGAUCGUCUAACUCCGUGCCAGCAGCCGCGGUAAUACGGAGGAUUCAAGCGUUAUCCGGAUUUGUUGGGUUUAAAGGGUGCGUAGGCGGUCGGAUAAGUUAGAGUUGAAAUCCUCAGGCUCAACUUCGGAAUUGCCUUUGAUACUGUUCGGCUAGAGAGUAGUUGCGGUAGGCGGAAUGUAUGGUGUAGCGGUGAAAUGCGUAGAGAUCAGAAAGAACACCGAUUGCGAAGGCAGCUUACCGAGCUACUUCUGACGCUGAGGCACGAAAGCGUGGGGAGCAAACAGGAUUAGAUACCCCAGUAGUC
This 460-nucleotide ribosomal RNA is filed under the name uncultured bacterium. Its description in RNAcentral is "partial 16S ribosomal RNA". It matches the Rfam family "Bacterial small subunit ribosomal RNA", at positions 338 to 795 of the family's 1533-position model. The record is from RNAcentral.